This is a non-coding RNA of Schizosaccharomyces pombe (fission yeast), 568 nucleotides long. NCBI's taxonomy places the organism in Eukaryota, Fungi, Ascomycota, Schizosaccharomycetes, Schizosaccharomycetales, Schizosaccharomycetaceae. The record is from the annotation of a GenBank genome assembly.
AAAAUCAAUAGCUUAAUGAUGUCUUUUUUACCUACGUGAAAGAAUUAUCAACAGGGUGCUAAUGUAUACAUUCAGAAUCCAAAGAAAAAGGCUGUGAAAAUGCAAGUAGGCACUUUUUGUUUUCCUAAUUAAGAAAUCGAAAACAAAAAUUAGUACUUCCAAAUAGAUUUACAUUGUUUUAAUGUUGUCAAUUGUCAUUUUGAAUGCUUAAUUCAACAGAUAUAGACGGAAGUAAAAUUUGAAGUAUUAAAGAGUGCAUAAAACUAUUCCUCCUAAAUAUUUCGUAACAUUGCUAAGUUAUUGAAUAUAUAGACCCAUGCUUAAGUACGUGUCCUAGAUGCGCUUAAGGUAUUUAGUUACAAUAAUAUAUUUGCUUCAUCUGAUACUACCCUCAACCGCAAUGUUUUUAUCUUAUUAUAUCGAAAUUCAUAUUUUAUUUCGCUAAAAUUGUUUCUGAUUUACUUUCCGCUUUCUCAUUUCCGUGCAGUAAACUUGGAUACGGUAAUUAUAUAUGGAGCUUAGUGUCUUAUUGUUUAAUAACGAGUCUUAGCUUUCAAAUAUUUUAUUG